GUCAACCCAGUCCACGCCCCGCGUCGUCCUCCCCUUCUCCUCUUCCUCGCUCUUGCGACCGAAAUCGCCGCCGCCGUCGCCGUCGCCGCUCAACCCCGGCCGCCUCCGGUGGUUUCUGCCGCCGUCGCCUAGCGCGAACGACGCACCUAGCCGCCCUUUAUCAUCUCCUCCUCUUAGAUUUUCCGGGCGCCUCCUCGUGCGGCUGUGCCCUACCCCGCAUGGGAGCUAGGGUUUGCGCCCCUCGUCGGAGUUGAACUCCGGCGGCCGUCCUGGUGCUCGGGUGGUCAUGGUCGCCGCCCCCUCCCCCGCCCUAACCGCCGCGGACGCGAGGCAGGCCGCGGCGAGGAAGAAGGAGGAGGACGACGAGGAGGUCGUCUGCUUCAUCUGCUUCGACGGUGGAGACCUCGUCGUCUGCGAUUGGAGGUGCGACGCCGCAGUGCGCGACUUCUUCCACGCCUGGAUGGUCAUUGAGCGCGCCCCUCCUGAUUGCAGUCAGUGCCGCCGCCGUCUCCAAGCUGCAGAGUCCCGUUCCUUUCAGCCCGUGCGUUUCCUCAGCGUGAGAUCGAUCGGGAUGUCCCUAAUCUACUGUGUGUACUUUUAACUGAAUUUCCGACAGUGCGUUUGCUCAGCGUGAGAUGGAUCAUCGAGGUUAGUGUGCCAGCACCGCACUCUGCUCAGCGUGAGAUUUCCGACAGUUAACUAAUUAGUCUUAUGAGCUUUAUUAGUGCACUACAUGGUUACAUCGCUCUGCAAUUCUGCAUUUCUUUACUUCUGAUAUCCUCGCUUUUCUCCAUACUUGUUUAGCGGUAUAUUUAACUGUAAAUGAUAACAAUAUUCUGUGCAUUUAUGCACUUCUUUAGUAGGCAAGAACGCUAGGUAAAGAAAUGAUGUAAAUCUCCUUCGUCUAUUUAUACAAGGACAUGGUAACCGCCCCAGUUUCUUUAUUAGUGAAACCAAACAUCUGGCUCAAUACAUCAAUCUAUGGGCAUAGACAUUUGUAGGGGUUUACACCUUAUGUGCUAUUCUUUUGCAGAUCGGCAGAAAUAGCCUUAGCCAAUUCCAAAUAAUGGAAGUUCAAAACAGGCAAACUAAAACGUUUGCUGCUAUAUGAUACACACUGAAUACACCCAGAUAGCCUUCUUUUGUUUGUGUUGUGAUCUGCCGAUUCCUGUUUUAGCAAUCCUUAUUUGUUGAUUCAAAGUCACAGAGUUAUUGAAGUUAGGUUUCUCGUAGCUACACGGGCAGGCUGCUUAGCAUUGCACUAACUAGUUUGGUGGUAGAAAAGUUUCUGUUCCAGUUCUUCCCUAUGUUGGUCUUCACUUGCUAUUUUCAACAGUCACAUGAACAUAAUGUAUUCUUUUUUUAUUCAGUUGCCACACAUGCUGCCAUCUCAAAAAGCAUUUUAUGCUGCUGUAUCUUCCCUUGGCAUCUACAGCAAAGCUGUUUACGAUGGAAAGGGGCUAUUUAGCGCCGCUCGUGUUUGGUGGAUGUUUCGUGCUUAUGGACAUGACAAAGUCUGGGUUUUGGAUGGAGGUUUGCCCCAGUGGCGUGCUUCUGGGUAUGGCGUGGAAUCAAGUGCCUCCAGCGAUGCUAUCUUAAAAGCUAGUGUUGCUAGUGAAGCAAUCGAGAAGGUUUACCAGGGGAGUCGGUAACUUUUUCUAUUCUUCUCUUCUAUGUUUUAUGCUACAGUAAUAACCAUACUUCGCUGAAUUAAAUCACACCAUGAGUCUUUUUGAUCAUUUGCUUUCAGUCUGUCAUGGUUUGCUGAAGAAUGUUCUUUUGACAUCAUUGUUUUUCUAUACUGAGCUGAAGCUUGCUGCUUCCAGGACAUGGAUAGAGGAGAUUAUUUUGAAUUAAGUUUGGGCAAAAAAGACCUGGACAGAUCAAAGAAAUACAUCCAGACGUUGCAGGUAUCACCAUAUUCCAUUGCUAUUACUAUAUUUGUAUUAGUACCCCGAUAUUAGUAUGUGGUUCAUUUUCCAGAUUUGAUAUUAGUAGCCUGAGAAAUAAUAUAUUGGAAAAACUUAAAUUUAUUGGAAAAACAUUUGCUGUUGGACAGUUAUGAUUUUUAGUGUCUACGCUGAUGGUUUCAUAUUCAGUUGUUGUGAUGAUGAUAAUUGUUAUGAUUUAUUCAUUUACAAUGAUCUGUAGCUGCUGUAGUGGAUUAUUACAUGAUUCUGGACCAUGAUAUGCUCAGUUUUACACAUGUAAAAUAUAGAUUUCCCAGUGGCAUGUGUAUUGAGAUGCCUUACUUGUUCGUCUAUUGAUUACUUGGUUAUUUGUGACUUCUGCUGCUCUAGUGCUUGCUUUAGAUGAUCUGAUUUUCAAUAAGUGCAUGUUAUAACACUAAAAACAUUAUGAUCAUCAAAGUAGUGUACUCUCUUGCCAAGUAUUUCUCAGUACAGGAGUUCAGUUAGUGAUAUUGCUCUGUUAAUUCACAACUACAUGAAGUACCAUAUAACUUGAGAAAUCCUCAACUCUGAUCCUAGCUGCAACUACUUCACAAAGUUGGGACUGAAACCAACUUUCUGUUAAUUCACAAAGUUGUCUAUUUUCUCUUUCUAUUCUAAUCUUUCUGUUAAAGUGUUAUUGUAUUUACUAUGCACAUCGGGGCCAAGAGGCUGUCUACAAGCCUAGAACUCGAGUGUAACUUGCUUCUUGUCAAGCUUAUUUUCUUUCAGAGUUAAAUUGCGUUAAAUAUUUCUUUUGGCCAUUAAUUUUCUUGUCGAGCUGUCGCGUGUGGAGGAGCAGGCGAGCUGCUGCUGCUGGAGAUCAUGUGCUCCUGCUAGAUCUUCAUUGUUAGGUCGAAACUGAAUGUUGGUGUGGUUGAUUUUGAUUUGAAUUGUAAACGGAAUGUCGUGGUUGAUUUGAAAUCUAAAUUGAAAUGUACUGUUUAUAGCUGUUGUACUAUCUGUGUAAAAGCAUGGCUGUAAU
Molecule: ribosomal RNA, 2934 nt
Filed under: Triticum aestivum (bread wheat)
Lineage: Eukaryota; Viridiplantae; Streptophyta; Magnoliopsida; Poales; Poaceae
Description: partial small subunit ribosomal RNA
Source: RNAcentral